UAAGGAAUAUUGGUCAAUGGAGGCAACUCUGAUCCAGCAAUGCCGCGUGAGUGAAGAAGGCCUUCGGGUUGUAAAGCUCUUUUGUCAGGGAAGAAACGGUAGUAGCGAAUAACUAUUACUAAUGACGGUACCUGAAGAAUAAGCACCGGCUAACUACGUGCCAGCAGCCGCGGUAAUACGUAGGGUGCAAGCGUUAAUCGGAAUUACUGGGCGUAAAGCGUGCGCAGGCGGUUGUGUAAGUCAGAUGUGAAAUCCCCGGGCUCAACCUGGGAAUUGCAUUCGAUACUGCUUGGCUAGAGUGUGGAAGAGGGAAGCGGAAUUUCCGGUGUAGCGGUGAAAUGCGUAGAUAUCGGAAGGAACACCAGUGGCGAAGGCGGCUUCCUGGUCCAACACUGACGCUGAGGCGCGAAAGCGUGGGGAGCAAACAGGAUUAGAUACCCCUGUAGUCCCUGAGCGGGCUGGCAAGGCGCAU
RNAcentral lists this ribosomal RNA (472 nucleotides) under uncultured bacterium. RNAcentral's name for it is "bacterial SSU rRNA". It matches the Rfam family "Bacterial small subunit ribosomal RNA", at positions 355 to 825 of the family's 1533-position model. The record is from RNAcentral.